This 3401-nucleotide unclassified non-coding RNA is filed under the name Hevea brasiliensis (rubber tree). The record is from RNAcentral. Lineage: Eukaryota; Viridiplantae; Streptophyta; Magnoliopsida; Malpighiales; Euphorbiaceae.
AAAUUCAAAACGGACUAUAAAAAUUAACUUGGUAUGUUACAUAAGUAGCGAAUUGUCCGUCCGUGCGUUGCUCAGGAUGCUAAACCAAUAUCAAGAACCCUGCAAUUUUUAUCAACGAAAUGAUGGUCUUCCACUCAUGGAGGAUUUCAGACAGAGACAUGGAGUCCCCAGCAUGAAUUGAAACGUAUACUACUUGCAUAUUUAUACAUUUGAGCAAAUAUUCUGUGCUGAUAGUUUACAAUACAACAAAGUAAUUGAUCUCAUGAUCUAAAGUAGGCGAUCAUAUAUGCUGUAGAACUUAGCCACGAGGAAGCAACCAGGUGUCCAUGGAUUAAUCAUUGAAAGAAGGAGAGUUUGUUAACGAAGCAAUAUUGGUCAUGGUCCACUGCAGCUGCAACUUCAACUUGCCAUUUUUAGAAUUAAAUAGAAAAUGCAGGAAUGAUAAAGUUCAUUGAGCUGAAUUUCUAUCAACGUCAUUGAUAAUAAUAAUAUUUCAAAGUAAAGGGGGUUGCAAAAGGGUGGUAUGUUAAGGAUAAAAAUUUCAUUUAAAAUGGGAUUUCUAAGCUUCUGCAACCACUUGAGAUUUAGGCUUUUUCUCCUUGUUUUUAACAAACUUUUUACUUGCUGCCCCACCAUCUUCCGUUUCUGUUCUGUUCUCAAUCCUUGCAAAGACUGGUUGUGGCUGAGCCAUGACCUGACCGCCCUUCAGGCCACCCCACUUCGUGUCACUCUACAAUGCAAAAUCCAAUAAGAAAUUAAUAGAAAUAAGGAGGAAGGUGUGUUUAUUGUAUACAUGCAUAGAUAUAAUGGACAGAAGUUUGUGUUCGUGUCUGCUGCACCCAAAGACACAUGCACCCACAUGAGAGAGAGAGAGAGAGACCCAUGUCGCAGUGUUAAAAUGGUCCUUUGAGUAGCCAAGCUGCGAAUAUAUUCUCCAACAUAAACUUGGAGCGACAGGUGAUAAAGCAAUUGCUAUAAUCCUCAUUGCUUCCAAUAUAAUCACGAGAUCCUGCUUAGCAUCAACCAAAAUGAGAAUACCACUCCAAUAACAUCUCAUGCUAGGUCAGUUCUAACACAAGGUUCAAUGAAGUUCAAUUUCUAACCAUGCAUACCAUGCUCAUAAAACAUGUUUUAUUAUCUAAGCGGUUUACUCGAUCGAUUAGAUUCAAUGCUAGAAUGUUUCCUUUCUCAAAAAUUAAGCCAUCAAUAUUCUUCAUAGCAGUGAGAUCAAAUAUUAUUAAAGACAUUCUUGAAGAAAUAGAGGUAGAUAUGGGAAACCUUUGCCGCAGCUUCAGAAGCAGCACCGCCUUGCUUAAAAAGAGACCAUGGAGCACAUUCAUCCAUGUAGACAUUUCCAGCAUUACCAAUCUCCAGAAUAGCCUCACAAGCCAAUGAUAGUGAAAGAUUUUCAUAAUGAACCCGAGCUUUUUCAACCAACUUCUCAACAGUGUCUUUCAAUGCAUUUCCUUCAGCAGCAAUAAAUGAAUCAACAACCAAAGUUGAUUGACAAUUCCUUUUAAGGAGUCCAAGAGUACGGUUAAGGAGGUUUCCUAUGGUAUUGGCAAGGUGUGCAUUGACAAUAUUAACAAAACGGUCUUCUGAGUAGUCCCCAUCAUUGCCAAACUCCACCUCUCUAAGGAAGAAGUACCUGACUGCAUCGGACCCAAAUUUUUGAACCAACUCGUUUGGUUCAAGUGUAUUCCCUAAUGACUUCCCCAUCUUCGUGCCAUCCUUUGUCAAGAACCCAUGCCCAAACACCAUCUUAGGAAGGCCUAGGCCAGCAGACAUCAGCAUAGCCGGCCAAUAAACUGCAUGAAAACGUAAAAUAUCCUGCACAAGAAUAAGAGAACAAUAAGAGAGAAAUUGCCAACUGAAUUCUGUUUAGAUAUGUUUUUGAGGAAAAAGGGACUCAGAUUCAUAAACAAAGAAGCAAUAAGUAAAACAGGAAAAAAGUGGAAAAAAGCAAUUAAAAAGGUAAAACCUUUCCAAUUAAAUGCAGUGAUGCAGGCCAGCCAGAAGAAACAGCACUUUGCAAAUUAGUUUGUUCCUUGUCCUCUGAUAAAGCUGAUAGAUAACCCAAUAAAGCAUCAAACCAAACAUAUAUAGUCUGCUUAUUGUCAUUAGGAACAGGAAUGCCCCAAUCCACUGAUGCACGAGAAAUUGAAAAGUCUUUCAAGCCACAUUUGAUCCAGCUUUGCACCUCAUUUAAACGGAAUGAAGGCUGCACAAAAUUUGGAUUCUGUGCCAAAGUUUCUUCUAAUAGUUUUUGGUACUUUGACAAGGCAAAAAAAUAAUUAUCCUCUUUCCGCUGAAUACAUGGCUUUAGAUGCAUGGGGCAACAGUUGUUAUCAAGUAGCUCCUUUUCAUCCUUAUACUCCUCACAGCUGACACAGUAAAGUCCCUCAUAGUCAGCACGGUAAAUGUCCCCGUUGGCAAGAACCCUAGAAUAAAAUUCCUUGACAAUUGCUUCAUGCUUGGGAUCGGUUGUCCGAAUGAAUUUGUCAUAAGCAAUUUCUAAAUCUUUCCAAAGUUUCUUGUAAGCUUGAGAUACGACAUCACAGUGUUUACUUGGGCUAGAGCCACGGGCAGCUGCAGCAGUUGCAAUCUUCUCUCCAUGCUCAUCUGUGCCAGUGACGAAUAUAACCUUCUUUCCUAAAAGCCUCUGAAAUCGAGCUAUGGCAUCAGCAGCGAUGGUGGUGUAGGCACUACCCAUAUGCGGAGGAGCAUUCACGUAAUAAAGCGGAGUUGUGAGGACGAAUGUUUCUGCUGCCACUGCUUCGCCGUUUUGGGCACUAUUGGGAUUGCUAUUGGCAACUGUGCAAAACGCAGCCUUUCGGGAUUGAGAAGAAGAAAAGAAGAGUUCUGUGGGAAAACUGAGACGAUUCUUGAAAUGGGCAGUUGUCGUUGAUCUUGCACUGAUUGAAGAACAUAGAGGGUUUAAAAGGGAAAGAGUGUUUUGUAUCGAGUAGUUUAUUCUCGCAGCCAUUUCUUUUCUUCGCUUCCACUUAAACUCAGUACUAGGUUUCUCACUGUUCAGGGCGCACUGUUGCAGCUUGCAAUCAGCUUUUGGUUCUUAUUGAAACACAGAGGCCUAUCGAUAAAGGGCAUCAGAUUCCUAAGGAGGGGAGAGGAGAGGCCUAUCGAUAAAGCAGCUGCGCCGGUUUUGGUUCUGUUAGCCCAAACUGCAGGAUUAAAUUUUCAUAAUUACGAUGUCGUUUUGGGUUUGCUUAUGCACGUCAUUUCCUUAGUUCAGUUUCGCUGAUCACCACCGAUUUGGAAACUCCAUAGCUAGACCACAUCUUGUCUUGAAAAGUUCUGUAUUUCCAUUUUCUUUAUCUCGAUAGUCAAAAUCAUUGAUCAAUGGGCGCAGUUAGUCAAAAUCAUUGAUCAAUGGGCGCAGU